UACGUAGGGAGCGAGCGUUAUCCGGAUUUAUUGGGUGUAAAGGGUGCGUAGACGGGUAAUUAAGUUAGUUGUGAAAUCCCUCGGCUCAACUGAGGAACUGCAACUAAAACUGGUUAUCUUGAGUGCAGGAGAGGUAAGUGGAAUUCCUAGUGUAGCGGUGAAAUGCGUAGAUAUUAGGAGGAACACCAGUGGCGAAGGCGACUUACUGGACUGUAACUGACGUUGAGGCACGAAAGUGUGGGGAGCAAACAGG
Molecule: ribosomal RNA, 253 nt
Filed under: uncultured bacterium
Lineage: Bacteria
Description: partial 16S ribosomal RNA
Rfam family: Bacterial small subunit ribosomal RNA
Source: RNAcentral